CCUACGGAGGCUGCAGUGGGGAAUAUUGGACAAUGGGCGAAAGCCUGAUCCAGCCAUGCCGCGUGUGUGAAGAAGGCCUUCGGGUUGUAAAGCACUUUCAGUGGGGAAGAAAGCCUUGGGGCUAAUACCCUCGAGGAAGGACAUCACCCACAGAAGAAGCACCGGCAAACUCCGUGCCAGCAGCCGCGGUAAUACGGAGGGUGCGAGCGUUAAUCGGAAUUACUGGGCGUAAAGCGCGCGUAGGCGGUCUGAUAAGCCGGUUGUGAAAGCCCCGGGCUCAACCUGGGAACGGCAUCCGGAACUGUCAGGCUAGAGUGCAGGAGAGGAAGGUAGAAUUCCCGGUGUAGCGGUGAAAUGCGUAGAGAUCGGGAGGAAUACCAGUGGCGAAGGCGGCCUUCUGGACUGACACUGACGCUGAGGUGCGAAAGCGUGGGUAGCAAACAGGAUUAGAUACCCUAGUAGUC
Molecule: ribosomal RNA, 464 nt
Filed under: Vreelandella stevensii
Lineage: Bacteria; Pseudomonadati; Pseudomonadota; Gammaproteobacteria; Oceanospirillales; Halomonadaceae
Description: partial 16S ribosomal RNA
Rfam family: Bacterial small subunit ribosomal RNA
Source: RNAcentral